Molecule: long non-coding RNA, 1545 nt
Filed under: Lynx pardinus (Iberian lynx)
Lineage: Eukaryota; Metazoa; Chordata; Mammalia; Carnivora; Felidae
Source: RNAcentral
GUUUAUCUUCUACAUGUCGUUCAACCAUCAUAAAGUGAAAACUGCCAUAACACAAAAAAUUGUUUUAAUGCUUUUUUAUUAAAUUCACCACACUAAUGUCCUAGCGACAGGUUCCAAAUGUGCCUUAUUCUCAGUUUCAGCAAAUAGAGUUAAUUCUAGUAUAAGGUCGGAGAACAUAGUACAGAAGUUAAGAAACAGAAAACAGAAUUAAAGACUAGAAAUAAAACAACAAAAACAAGAGCUUACUAUUCUUUGAAAUAAAAAUGGUUUACUUUUACUUUUUUUUAGAGAGAGCACAAGCUAGAGAGAUGGGCAGAGAGAGAGAGAAAAUCCCAAGCAGGCCCCACACUCAGUGCAGAGCUUGACCCUGGGCUUGAACUCAUGAAACCAUGAGAUCAUGACCUGAGCUGAAAUCAUGGAUGCUUAACCGACUGGGCCACCCAGGUGCCCCAAAAUAGUUCACUUUUAGAUUAAAGCAGAUGUACAAAAAACAAAAAUAUAACUGUUACUUGUACCAAUAAAGUAAUCGUGAACCACAGUAAAUAAUUUGCGGACAUGUGUGAAAUGCUAUUUUAAUUUAGAAAAGCAAGGAUAUCACCCACAACAUUUUCAUUGUUGCAACGUUACAUCAAAUUUCUCAUCUUCAAUUAUCUUAAUGAUAAUAGAGUUUAAUAUAAAUAGAGUUUAAUAUAAAAUGGAUCUGCGACCAAAGAUGUUUUAAAACAACUAAUGAAGGAGAUAAUAAACCUGCGAGGAACCAAAGGGUCCUCACCACCAGUGGCUACUUUGGCUCCCUCUUUGUUGCCAGCUACAUUUCACAGCUCUUUUUUUAAAAUUUUUUUUUUUUUCAACGUUUAUUUAUUUUUGGUACAGAGAGAGAUAGAGCAUGAACGGGGGAGGGGCAGAGAGAGAGUGGGACACAGAAUCGGAAACAGGCUCCAGGCUCCGAGCCAUCAGCCCAGAGCCUGACGCGGGGCUCGAACUCACAGACCGCGAGAUCGUGACCUGGCUGAAGUCGGACGCUUAACCGACUGCGCCACCCAGGCGCCCCACAUUUCACAGCUCUUAACGAGGAAUGAGAUGAUUCAUCAGUGUGAGUAAGGGAAAACAAGACUACUUCACUGAAGAACCAACCAACCAGAAAGUACAUGUGGGGCAGGUUAGGGGGUAAGUCACUGUCCAACUGGACACACUAUGGCUUUACGCAUCAGAACCGUACAAUGGCGACUGAACAUGAUACCAGAUCAGAAGAUGUUCCGUUCCCGAGUUCUGAUUCGUAGGAGCUUCCAAAGUAGAGCCGGUACAUAUUGAAUUUUGAUUCAUCUGGAAGCAUCUCAGACAACUCUAGAGAAACCAGGGACUGCUCCAAGCCACACUCCCCAUCUCCAGCUGAAUCAUCGGAGCCGCUGCUGUGGUUGAGAAAAACCAUUGAAGACAGACUUAGGUCACUAUCAGAGCUGGAACUUCCAUCCUAAAACACACAAAAGGACAACAGUUGUAAAAAUCUAAAUAAUCUAUGACUCUGAAAUUAGCAACACAGAUAGC